GUGUAGAUGGAGUAUAGAUAAAGUAUACUGAAGUGUAGGUGGAGUUUAGAUAGAGUAUACUGAAGUGUAAGUGGAGUAUGGGUAGAGUGUACUAAAGUAUAAGUGGAGUAUAGAUAAAGAACAGAAAAGUGUAGGUGGAGUCUACAUAGAGUGUUCUGAUGUGUCAGUGAAGUAUAGGUAGAGUAUGCUGAAAUGUAACUGGAGUAUGGGUACAGUAUACCAAUGUAUAGGUGGAGUAUAGAUAGAGUAUACUGAAGUGUAGGUGGAGUAUAGAUAAAGUAAACUGAAGUGUAAGUGGAGUAUAGAUAGAGUAUACUGAAGUGUAGGUGGAGUAUAGAUACAGUAUACUGAAGUGUAAGUGGAGUAUAGAUAGAGUAUACUAAAGAGUAGGUAAGAUAUAGGUAGAGUGUACUGAAGUGUAGGUGAAGUAUAGGUAGGUUAUACGGAAGUAUAAGUGGAGUAUGGGUAUAAUGUACUGAAGUGUAAGUUAAGUAUAGGUAGAGUAUAGUGAAGUGUAGGUGGAGUAUGGGUAGAAUAUACUGAAGUGUAGGCAAGGUAUAUGUAGAGUGUACUGAAGCAUAGUUGGAGUAUAGAUAGAGUAUAUCAACUAAAGCAUAGGUGGAAUAUAGGUAGAGUAUACUGAAGUGUAGGUGAAGUAUAGGUAGUUUAUAGUGAAGUAUAGGUGGAGUAUGGGUACAAUAUACUGAAAUGUAGGUGAAGUAUAGGUAGAGUAUAGUGAAGUGUAGGUGGAGUAUGGGUAGAACGUACUGAAGUGUAGGCAAGGUAUAGGUAGAGUGUACUGAAGCAUAGGUGGAGUGUAGAUAGAGUAUACCGAAGCGUAGGUGGAGUAUAGGUAGAGUGUACUGAAGUGUAGGUGAAGCAUAGGUAGAUUAUAGUGAAGAGUAGGUGGAGUAUGGGUAGAAUGUGCUGAAGUGUAGGUAAAGUAUACGUAGAGUGUACUGAAGUGUAGGUGGAGUAUAGGUAGAGUGUACAGAAGUAUAGAUGAAGCAUAGGUGGAGUAUAGAGUAUACUAAGGCAUAGGUGGAGCAUAGGUAGUGUACUGAAGCGUAGGUGGAGUGUAGGUAGAGUGUGCUGAAGCAUAGGUGGAGUAUAGGUGGAGUGUACUGAAGUGUACAUGAAGUAUAGGUGGAGUAUAGAUAGAGUGUACUGAAACAUGGGUGGAGUAUAGAUAGAGUAUACUGAAGCAUAGGUGGAAUAUAGAGAGAGUACUGAAGUAUAGGUGGAGUAUAGAUAGAGUGUACUGAAACAUGGGUGGAGUAUAGAUAGAGUGUACUGAAGCAUAGGUGGAAUAUAGAGAGAGUACUGAAGUGUAGGUAAGGUAUAGAUAGAAUGUACUGAAACAUGGGUGGAGUAUAGAUACAGUAUGCUGAAGCAUAGGUGGAGUAUAGGUAGAGUGUACUGAAGUGUAGGUCCUGGAGAUCACGAGUG
This 1449-nucleotide long non-coding RNA is filed under the name Homo sapiens (human). Its description in RNAcentral is "non-protein coding lnc-PXDN-9:2". The record is from RNAcentral. Lineage: Eukaryota; Metazoa; Chordata; Mammalia; Primates; Hominidae.